UCCGGUUUAUCACCGGCAGUCUCCUUAGAGUUCCCGACAUUACUCGCUGGCAACUAAGGACGAGGGUUGCGCUCGUUACGGGACUUAACCCAACAUCUCACGACACGAGCUGACGACAGCCAUGCAGCACCUGUCACUCGGUUCCCGAAGGCACUCCUUCAUCUCUGAAGGAUUCCGAGGAUAUCAAGAGUAGGUAAGGUUCUGCGCGUUGCAUCGAAUUAAACCACAUGCUCCACCGCUUGUGCGGGCCCCCGUCAAUUUCUUUGAGUUUUAACCUUGCGGCCGUACUCCCCAGGCGGGGAACUUAACGCGUUAGCUUCGCUACUAAGAAGUUAAACUUCCCAACAGCUAGUUCCCAUCGUUGACGGCGUGGACUAC
This 378-nucleotide unclassified non-coding RNA is filed under the name uncultured Gammaproteobacteria bacterium. RNAcentral describes it as "contains 16S-23S intergenic spacer region". Lineage: Bacteria; Pseudomonadati; Pseudomonadota; Gammaproteobacteria. The record is from RNAcentral.